This is a long non-coding RNA of Gadus chalcogrammus (walleye pollock), 487 nucleotides long. RefSeq lists it as uncharacterized. The transcript has 5 exons. The record is from RefSeq and is a predicted model, not a curated record. Lineage: Eukaryota; Metazoa; Chordata; Actinopteri; Gadiformes; Gadidae.
GCAGAGGCUGGAGGGGGUCCACCACCUGCAGCCUUCAUAGUGGCUGAGGAGAUGGCCCUCAGCCAACAGAGUAUGCGUCCUUUGGCUGAGGGCAUCCCUGGAGGGAGCUCCUCUGAUCCCCCCCACCCCCCAGGAUAGAAGUGCCUUUAUAAGAGUUACUGAUGGCGUCAUCGCCCUACUGGAACCAGAUGCCCUCACCAACCUCCAUGCAAUUGAAGAUGAUGGAGAAACAUUGUCUGCGGCAUUUGAAAGGGAAGAGGAAAGGCCUAUUGAGGAUGAAAUCGAAUUCAAUGAGAGGCCAUCCACUUCUAAUUCACAGCUUACCUCUCUUCCAGUCAAAGAGCUCUAUAAAAUCUAUCUGGAAAAACAAAUAAACAAAGCAGACUUGGAAAUGGACCACAUUAGGCAAAAGUUGCAAAAGGAUGCUUUGGAACAUAUGUUAAAGGUGGGUGAGGUGCAAACUGGGAUACUGUUUCCUGCUCCAAAA